Molecule: ribosomal RNA, 396 nt
Filed under: uncultured Glomus
Lineage: Eukaryota; Fungi; Glomeromycota; Glomeromycetes; Glomerales; Glomeraceae
Description: SSU rRNA
Rfam family: Eukaryotic small subunit ribosomal RNA
Source: RNAcentral
AGCAGCCGCGGUAAUUCCAGCUCCAAUAGCGUAUAUUAAAGUUGUUGCAGUUAAAAAGCUCGUAGUUGAAUUUCGGGAUCAAUACGUCGGUCGUGCUUCGGUACGUACUGGCAUUGUUGGUUUCUCCCUUCUGACGAACCAUGAUGUCAUUUAUUUGGUGUUGUGGGGAAUCAGGACUGUUACUUUGAAAAAAUUAGAGUGUUUAAAGCAGGCUCACGCUUGAAUACAUUAGCAUGGAAUAAUGAAAUAGGACGUUUGAUUCUAUUUUGUUGGUUUCUAGGAUCGACGUAAUGAUUAAUAGGGAUAGUUGGGGGCAUUAGCAUUCAAUUGUCAGAGGUGAAAUUCUUGGAUUUAUUGAAGACUAACUACUGCGAAAGCAUUUGCCAAGGAUGUUUU